This 253-nucleotide ribosomal RNA is filed under the name uncultured bacterium. Its description in RNAcentral is "partial 16S ribosomal RNA". It matches the Rfam family "Bacterial small subunit ribosomal RNA", at positions 524 to 776 of the family's 1533-position model. The record is from RNAcentral.
UACGGGGGGGGCAAGCGUUGUUCGGAAUUACUGGGCGUAAAGGGCGCGUAGGCGGCCUUCUAAGUCGGACGUGAAAUCCCUCGGCUCAACCGAGGAACUGCGUCUGAUACUGGAAGGCUUGAAUCCGGGAGAGGGAUGUGGAAUUCCAGGUGUAGCGGUGAAAUGCGUAGAGAUCCGGAAGAACACCGGUGGCGAAGGCGGUCUGCUGGGCAGUUGCUGACACUGAUGCGCGACAGCGUGGGGAGCAAACAGG